This 386-nucleotide ribosomal RNA is filed under the name uncultured bacterium. RNAcentral's name for it is "bacterial SSU rRNA". It matches the Rfam family "Bacterial small subunit ribosomal RNA", at positions 28 to 402 of the family's 1533-position model. The record is from RNAcentral.
GACGAACGCUGGCGGCGUGCCUAAUACAUGCAAGUCGAACGAACGGAUAAAGAGCUUGCUCUUUUGAAGUUAGUGGCGGACGGGUGAGUAACACGUGGGUAACCUGCCUCACAGCUGGGGAUAACAUCGAGAAAUCGAUGCUAAUACCGAAUGUGCUGAACAUCAUAAGAUGUUCAAGUGAAAGACGGUUUCGGCUGUCACUGUGAGAUGGACCCGCGCUGGAUUAGCUAGUUGGUAAGGUAAUGGCUUACCAAGGCGACGAUCCAUAGCCGACCUGAGAGGGUGAUCGGCCACAUUGGGACUGAGACACGGCCCAAACUCCUAACGGGAGACAGCAGUAGGGAAUCUUCGGCAAUGGACGAAAGUCUGACCGAGCAACGCCGCGU